CAAAUUAGCUGCUACAGCGAUCUUUUCCCUUCUUGCCUUCUUUAUUUUCCUUUUGCUGUCCGGCUGUCCCCCAGAUCUCUCUUCGCCUCGGCCGCCCGAGGCUGCAAUAAAGACGGCCGGACGGCCCUUCUGGCCAUCAAAGCUGCCUUCAAUAACGCUGAGCUCUUCGCCUCAUGUGCGACCCCUCCACCCUCUACUACACCUGGCUCGGCGUCGACUGCGAGCCCAAGCGAGGCCGUGUCAGCGGCCUCACCAUCUCCCCCCAUUGCCGACAUCCGCCACCUCCAGAACCUCGAAUUGUAUGACCUCCCCAACUGGGUCGGCCCCAUUAUAAUAUUCCUCAGGCCUUCGCCAAGCUCAGGAAUAUCCUGCUCCUUCGUGUCCAGAAUACUAGCAUCUCUGGUACCAUCCCCGCCUUCGUGGGCAGAUCCCAGCCGGCUCGAUGACCGCCAUUCCCGCACGUUUUAUAGAUUGCUGUUCGGUGAUUUUGUUCGGAUGUUUUCGUUUGGAAUAAGCGGGAAAGGGUGUAUCGGAUAGAGAAUUGCAGGAUUUGUUAUUGCAAUGUCAGAACAAAAGUCUGUUUCCACUGCACAGCUACUCUUGCUCUCCAAAAUUUAUGCAGAUGGAAUGUUGUUAUGCCGGGCUGGACCUAGGAGCCUAACAAGCAAUGUUAGGUCGUACUCUAGCUGGGACUGUCACGUCAGAUUCCAGCCCAACAAGAUUGGGGCCGGGGUUGGGCCUUCAUCUUUGGACUUACUCUCAGACCUCCUACCCAUGGGCAUUCCUAUUUUCAGCAAUCAUAUCACUUCUCACCAACCAACAUAAAGUUUUUACGUGCCUGCCUUUAUUCUUUUUGCCCGUGAUUUAGAGAACCAACGCAGUAGCUAGGGUGACUGAAACAAAGGAGAGAGGAUUAUUCAAAGAAACAAGAAAACUAGAACGAAGUUGGUGGUGCACAUGGAGCUUACUCAUUGCCUAGCAAUUUUCACCAACUCGAUGAAGUCAGCAAGAUUAGAUGCCAUCGAGGCUCUUUUUAGGAUUGAGGUGUUAGAUAAAAGAGCUUUCGAAGCGGAGG
Non-coding RNA from Elaeis guineensis (African oil palm), 1075 nucleotides. The record is from RefSeq and is a predicted model, not a curated record. NCBI's taxonomy places the organism in Eukaryota, Viridiplantae, Streptophyta, Magnoliopsida, Arecales, Arecaceae.